UCACUGGCACCUGGAUCUUGGCACCAUCCAUUCCUGUGUGAAACUCUUUUAGUUCUAAGAAGUGAAUAUCAUUGCCAGCAAUCAGGAUAACAGACUAGAUAACAGGUUGAGAGUCCAGGUGUGAUAACAAUCCUGUAUUCAGAGGAGGUAACUUUUAUAGCACUAUAAAAAACUAAGGAAAUUACCAAAGCCUAUCCCUGAAAAGACUGUAACAAAACAGCCAUUUAGCACUGACUGGCUCCAGUGAUUCCAAAGGUCAGGCCACUAACAACUGUAGAGCCAUUCCUGGUUUCUGUGUGUUCUGUGUCACUGAGCCAGCCACUGCUGCUGCUGUUUAUGGGAUAGGCAAGAAGGUUGCUACCAAAGGAAAUGGUUUUGUCUUUCACCUAGGAGAUGGUUCUGUGGAUAUGUCCAUAGUCACUGUUAAAACGGAUCUUUGAAGUACAUUCUACAGUAAGGGACACCCAUUAAGCUGGAGAUUUUGAUGAGCAGAUGGUCAUCAUUUCAUGCAUGAGUGCAAGGUCAAGCAUAAGAACCUCAGUGAGAGCAAGAGGGCUGCAGGGCUUGUGACCGUGGUGUGUGCACCUUGUUCAGCACCCUCCAUGCCAGGAUGAGGCUGAUUCUGUCUGCAAAGGAAUCAACUCCUAUAUACACUUUCCUUACCCAUCCCCAAUUUGAAAGAACUGAAUGCUGGUUAGUCCAUAGUACCCUGGACCCUAUAGAGAAAGCUCUGCACAGAGCAACCUGGAUAAGUUGUAGAUCCAGGUAUCAUCAUAGGGG
Molecule: long non-coding RNA, 780 nt
Filed under: Homo sapiens (human)
Lineage: Eukaryota; Metazoa; Chordata; Mammalia; Primates; Hominidae
Description: non-protein coding lnc-APBB1IP-5:1
Source: RNAcentral